CGACAUGAGACUCCAGGCUUGUCAUAUACCGAACUCAAAAAUGAAUUUGUCUUAAUUUCUGAACUUUCUAUUCUGUUCCUUUGAUCAAAUUAAUUUUCAUGAAUUUGAGCAAAACAUUUUCGAAUACUUGAAUGUCCUUUACAUCUCUGGCUGCUUCACUCAUCUAUUAUUGUGAUACAAUAAGUCAAUGGCUUAAAACAGGAGUUUACUGAUUGUCAUGAUUCUGUGGGUUGGCCAUCUGGGAGGGCCUUCUGCUGGUCUUUGCUGGGAUCACUCCUGUGGCUGCGGUCAUCUGACAGCUGGACUGGGAGUUGAGAGUCCAGAUGGAUCACUCACAUAUCUGGCAAUUGGUGCUGGCUGUUCACUGAGACACAUGGUUCUCCUCUUAUGGCUUUUCAUUCCUUAGCAGGUUAUCCUGGUCUUCCUCACAUCCCGGUGGUCUAAAAGACUCAAGAAGGCAAACCCCAAAGCGUAAGCACUGAUCAAGUCUCUGACCCCUCCCCUCGCCACAUUUACUAAUGUUCCCGUGGACAAAGCAAGUCAUACGGCCCAGCUAGAGGCCAAGUUUGAAAGAUAUAGACUGCUCCAUUGAUGGUAGAAGUGGCUAAGAAUUCAUGGCCUUUUUAAUCCACCACACUGUCUAUUAACUCAAUUUCGUUUCUAUAUUUUUAUGUUUGUGCUUUCUUUCCCAUAUUCUUAGUUGGGAUUAGUUGUGGUUUAUAUAUUUCACUGUUUCAGAGAUUUUCUCUCCAGAGAACUGUCUUGGAUAAAUUUAUUAGGCCUAAAAUUUUUCUUUGUGUGUGUAUAAAAUAUAGAUGUAUUUUAUUUAUUAUAUAUAAUAUAUAUUUGUAAUCUGUAUCACUGUCACCACAGGGGCUUAUUGAAAAUAAUGAUGAUCUACUGAAUCUAAAUUAGUGAGAGCAGAUCCUAGGAAUCUGCAUUUUAAACUCAAGUCUUGUCUAGUGAAACAGUGCAAUGUUCUAUGAGGUCUUCUCAUGAGUUUUGUCUCUGAGUCUUCCAUCAUCAG
Molecule: long non-coding RNA, 1027 nt
Filed under: Equus caballus (horse)
Lineage: Eukaryota; Metazoa; Chordata; Mammalia; Perissodactyla; Equidae
Description: lncRNA (ENSECAG00000046706.1)
Source: RNAcentral